UGAGUUGCAGCUAAAAAGAAUUAAUGUUUUAGUUUUUUAAUAUUAACGAUGAAGGUUCGAUUCCUUUCAACUCAA
Molecule: transfer RNA, 75 nt
Filed under: Storeatula sp. CCMP1868
Lineage: Eukaryota; Cryptophyceae; Pyrenomonadales; Pyrenomonadaceae
Description: tRNA-Sec
Rfam family: tRNA
About the family: Transfer RNA (tRNA) molecules are approximately 80 nucleotides in length.
Source: RNAcentral